UUUCCGGUUGAUCCCGCCGGACCUGACUGCUAUCGGAUUGAUACUAAGCCAUGCGAGUCUUUGUAGUAAUACAAGGCAGACGGCUCAGUAACACGUAGUCAACCUACCCUAUGGACGAGAAUAAUCUCGGGAAACUGAGCAUAAUUCUUGAUAGAUCAUAAUGCCUGGAAUGGUUUAUGGUUAAAAUGAUUCGUCGCCAUAGGAUGGGACUGCGGCCUAUCAGCUUGUUGGUGAGGUAAUGGCCCACCAAGGCGAUUACAGGUACGGGCUCUGAGAGGAGAAGCCCGGAGAUGGGUACUGAGACACGGACCCAGGCCCUAUGGGGCGCAGCAGGCGAGAAAACUUUGCAAUGUGCGAAAGCACGACAAGGUUAAUCCGAGUGAUUUCUGCUAAAGAAAUCUUUUGCCAGUCGUAAAACCGCUGGUGAAUAAGGGGUGGGCAAGUUCUGGUGUCAGCCGCCGCGGUAAAACCAGCACCUCAAGUGGUCAGGAUGAUUAUUGGGCCUAAAGCAUCCGUAGCCGGCUUUGUAAGUUUUCGGUUAAAUCCAUGUGCUCAACGCAUGGGCUGCCGAAAAUACUGCAUAGCUAGGGAGUGGGAGAGGUAGACGGUACUCAGUAGGUAGGGGUAAAAUCCUUUGAUCUAUUGAUGACCACCUGUGGCGAAGGCGGUCUACCAGAACACGUUCGACGGUGAGGGAUGAAAGCUGGGGGAGCAAACCGGAUUAGAUACCCGGGUAGUCCCAGCUGUAAACGAUGCAGACUAGAUGAUGCAUUGGCAUAAUAGCCAUUGCAGUGUCUCAGGGAAGCCGUUAAGUCUGCCGCCUGGGAAGUACGUACGCAAGUAUGAAACUUAAAGGAAUUGGCGGGGGAGCACCACAAGGGGUGAAGCCUGCGGUUCAAUUGGAGUCAACGCCGGG
This 916-nucleotide ribosomal RNA is filed under the name uncultured archaeon. Its description in RNAcentral is "SSU rRNA". It matches the Rfam family "Archaeal small subunit ribosomal RNA", at positions 1 to 922 of the family's 1478-position model. The record is from RNAcentral.